Molecule: non-coding RNA, 763 nt
Organism: Peromyscus maniculatus bairdii (prairie deer mouse)
Lineage: Eukaryota; Metazoa; Chordata; Mammalia; Rodentia; Cricetidae
Source: RefSeq, a predicted model, not a curated record
GGCGGCGCGCACGGAGGCGCGGGUGUGGCGCGUGCCAUGACUUCAGAUGCUGCAUUGCCUGCUUCAGAACUAGAGUCACGUGAUUGACACCCAAACUCAUCCUCUUCUGAGUGUGUCAAGGGCCUUGGACUCCAGUCCUCUUGACUAGGGCGCAGUUAAGGUGCCCGAUGGAGACUGGUUGCUGCUGUAAGGCCUUUUUAUAAAUGUGGUUAAAACCUUAGAGUGUGGAGAUUGGUGUCUCGGCACCACACUCUUAGGUUCUGGGUUCAUGCUCUAGGAUGCACUGACUUUAACACAUCUUUAACAUGUUUGAGAACUGUGGAACCACAGGAGAUUUCUGGAAGAAAACUGCCAUCCCCAUGGAAGAGAACUUGGUGAAUUCAGAACCACAACUGUCAACAUAGGUGAAGAUAACUUCAUUUCAGCUGGUGGGACAACCCUCCCCCACAUCCUGUGUGCCACUUUUUUCCAGUCAGUUCUACUCCGCCUAAGGCAUUUAAAGAUGUUAAGAGAUUUUUUUUAUCAUUGCACCAGCUUUGUAGUUAUCUAAAUAUGGUUAGCUCAAAUUGGGGGACAGAAGAAAAGAAAUUGAAACAUCAAGUAGUAAUACCGUUUGACCUGAACCUGUGAAAAGUUAAGAGGCCAUUGCAGCCUGAAAGACCAGCUGUUAGGUCUGCAUGCAGGGUAGCAGAAAAGAAUGGUUUUCAGAGUAGAGGGGAAUGGAAAAAUUUCUUAUCUAGAAUAAAUUCACACACGAACUGUU